GCCUUGCCAGCCCGCUCAGAAACUCAAAGGAAUUGACGGGGGCCCGGCACAAGCGGUGGAGCAUGUGGUUUAAUUCGAUGAUACGCGAGGAACCUUACCUGGGCUCAAAUGUAUGUUGACGUAUUCUGAAAGGGAUACUUCUUCGGACAAUAUACAAGGUGCUGCAUGGUUGUCGUCAGCUCGUGCCGUGAGGUGUCGGGUUAAGUCCCAUAACGAGCGCAACCCCUAUCAUUAGUUGCCAUCAGGUCAAGCUGGGGACUCUAAUGAAACUGCCUACGCAAGUAGUGAGGAAGGUGGGGAUGACGUCAAAUCAGCACGGCCCUUACGGCCUGGGCUACACACGUGCUACAAUGGUCGGUACAAAGGGUUGCCAAGCCGCGAGGUGGAGCUAAUCCCAUAAAACCGAUCGUAGUCCGGAUCGCAGUCUGCAACUCGACUGCGUGAAGUCGGAAUCGCUAGUAAUCGUGAAUCAGAAUGUCACGGUGAAUACGUUCCCGGGCCUU
This 503-nucleotide ribosomal RNA is filed under the name uncultured Sphingobacteriales bacterium. RNAcentral's name for it is "bacterial SSU rRNA". It matches the Rfam family "Bacterial small subunit ribosomal RNA", at positions 903 to 1382 of the family's 1533-position model. Lineage: Bacteria; Pseudomonadati; Bacteroidota; Sphingobacteriia; Sphingobacteriales. The record is from RNAcentral.